UCAUAGCUCAGUCGGUAGAGAAUCUGCCUGCAAUGCAGGAGACCCAGGUUUGGUUCCUGGGUUGUGAA
This 68-nucleotide transfer RNA is filed under the name Ovis aries (sheep). It matches the Rfam family "tRNA". From Rfam's summary of the family: Transfer RNA (tRNA) molecules are approximately 80 nucleotides in length. Their secondary structure includes four short double-helical elements and three loops (D, anti-codon, and T loops). Lineage: Eukaryota; Metazoa; Chordata; Mammalia; Artiodactyla; Bovidae. The record is from Rfam by way of RNAcentral.